CCUACGGGAGGCAGCAGUAGGGAAUUUUCCGCAAUGGAGGAAACUCUGACGCAGCAACGCCGCGUGAGUGAAGAAGGUCUUCGGGGUGUAAAGCUCUGUCAGUGGGGACGAAACCUGACGGUACUCACUGAAGAAGCCCUGACUAAUUCCGGGCAAGCAGCCGCGGGAAUCUGGGGGCGGCAAGCGUCGUCCGGACUCAUUGGGCGUAAAGAGUGCGUAGGUGGCACGUUAAGCCUGGUGUCAAAGGCGGACGUUCAACUUGCGUAGGGCACUGGAGACUGGCGGGCUUGAUUGCGGUAGAGGUAAGGGGAAUUCCAGGUGUAGCGGUGAAAUGCGUAGAUAUCAGGAGGAACAUCAGUGGCGUAAGCGCUUUACUGGGCCGUAAUUGACGCUGAGGAACGAAAGCGGGGGGAGCAAAUGGGAUUAGAUACCCGUGUAGUC
This 441-nucleotide ribosomal RNA is filed under the name uncultured bacterium. Its description in RNAcentral is "partial 16S ribosomal RNA". It matches the Rfam family "Bacterial small subunit ribosomal RNA", at positions 338 to 795 of the family's 1533-position model. The record is from RNAcentral.